Molecule: ribosomal RNA, 717 nt
Filed under: bacterium HPC1351
Lineage: Bacteria
Description: bacterial SSU rRNA
Rfam family: Bacterial small subunit ribosomal RNA
Source: RNAcentral
CGAAAAUGUAAAAGGGAGGCCGAAGUCGGAACCUGGGAGCCGGAAACAGAGAGCUUGCUCUCGGGUGACGAGUGGCGGACGGGUGAGUAAUGUCUGGGAAACUGCCUGAUGGAGGGGGAUAACUACUGGAAACGGUAGCUAAUACCGCAUAACGUCGCAAGACCAAAGAGGGGGACCUUCGGGCCUCUUGCCAUCAGAUGUGCCCAGAUGGGAUUAGCUAGUAGGUGGGGUAAUGGCUCACCUAGGCGACGAUCCCUAGCUGGUCUGAGAGGAUGACCAGCCACACUGGAACUGAGACACGGUCCAGACUCCUACGGGAGGCAGCAGUGGGGAAUAUUGCACAAUGGGCGCAAGCCUGAUGCAGCCAUGCCGCGUGUAUGAAGAAGGCCUUCGGGUUGUAAAGUACUUUCAGCGGGGAGGAAGGUGUUGUGGUUAAUAACCGCAGCAAUUGACGUUACCCGCAGAAGAAGCACCGGCUAACUCCGUGCCAGCAGCCGCGGUAAUACGGAGGGUGCAAGCGUUAAUCGGAAUUACUGGGCGUAAAGCGCACGCAGGCGGUCUGUCAAGUCGGAUGUGAAAUCCCCGGGCUCAACCUGGGAACUGCAUUCGAAACUGGCAGGCUAGAGUCUUGUAGAGGGGGGUAGAAUUCCAGGUGUAGCGGUGAAAUGCGUAGAGAUCUGGAGGAAUACCGGUGGCGAAGCGGCCCCUGGACAAGGA